This 197-nucleotide small nuclear RNA is filed under the name Ipomoea nil (Japanese morning glory). RNAcentral describes it as "U2 spliceosomal RNA". It matches the Rfam family "U2 spliceosomal RNA". Rfam says of the family: U2 is a small nuclear RNA (snRNA) component of the spliceosome (involved in pre-mRNA splicing). Complementary binding between U2 snRNA (in an area lying towards the 5' end but 3' to hairpin I) and the branchpoint sequence (BPS) of the intron results the bulging out of an unpaired adenosine, on the BPS, which initiates a nucleophilic attack at the intronic 5' splice site, thus starting the first of two transesterification reactions that mediate splicing. Lineage: Eukaryota; Viridiplantae; Streptophyta; Magnoliopsida; Solanales; Convolvulaceae. The record is from Rfam by way of RNAcentral.
AUACCUUUCUCGGCCUUUUGGCUAAGAUCAAGUGUAGUAUCUGUUCUUAUCAGUUUAAUAUCUGAUACGUGAGCCAUUGGCUCACACGAUAUUAACUCAAUUUUUUAAGGGGAAAGGCCCGUUAAGGCCAGCUUGCUGCCUAAGCCUUUGAGCAUUGUCUUGGUUUUGCACUAUAGCCCAGGCCUGGUGCACCCCAC